AUUGAACGCUGGCGGCAGGCCUAACACAUGCAAGUCGAACGAGUGGCGGACGGGUGAGUAAUGUCUGGGAAACUGCCCGAUGGAGGGGGAUAACUACUGGAAACGGUAGCUAAUACCGCAUACCAUCGGAUGUGCCCAGAUGGGAUUAGCUAGUAGGUGGGGUAAAGGCUCACCUAGGAGACGAUCCCUAGCUGGUCUGAGAGGAUGACCAGCCACACUGGAACGCAGACACGGCCCAGACUCCUACGGGAGGCAGCAGUGGGGAAUAUGGCACAAUGGGCGCACGCCUGAGGCAGCCAUGCCGCGUGCAUGAAGAAGGCUUUCGGGUUGUAAAGUACUUACAGCGGGGAGGCGUUACCCGCAGAAGAAGCACCGGCUAACUCCGUGCCAGCAGCCGCGGUAAUAC
Molecule: ribosomal RNA, 406 nt
Filed under: uncultured bacterium
Lineage: Bacteria
Description: partial 16S ribosomal RNA
Rfam family: Bacterial small subunit ribosomal RNA
Source: RNAcentral